RNAcentral lists this ribosomal RNA (253 nucleotides) under uncultured bacterium. Its description in RNAcentral is "partial 16S ribosomal RNA". It matches the Rfam family "Bacterial small subunit ribosomal RNA", at positions 524 to 776 of the family's 1533-position model. The record is from RNAcentral.
UACAGAGGGUGCAAGUGUUGUUCGGAAUUAUUGGGCGUAAAGGGCGCGUAGGUGGUCAGGUUAGUCAGAUGUGAAAGCCCUGGGCUUAACCCAGGAACUGCAUUUGAUACUACCUGACUUGAGUUCAGUAGAGGGUAGUGGAAUUCCCGGUGUAGAGGUGAAAUUCGUAGAGAUCGGGAGGAACACCAGUGGCGAGAGCGGCUACCUGGGCUGACACUGACACUGAGGCGCGAGAGCGUGGGGAGCAAACAGG